GUCAGGAGCUGUGGCACACACCUGUAGUCCCAGCUACUAGGGAGGCUGAGGUGGGAGGAUCGCUUGAGUCCAAGAGUUUUGGGCUAAAGUGCGCUAUGCCGACCAUCGGGUGUCCACACCAAGUUUGGCAUCAAUAUGGUGACCUCCCAAGAAUGUGGGACCACUAGGUUGCCUAAAGAGGUGUAAACCGCCCCAUGUCGGAAAUGGAGUAGGUCAAAACUUUCAUGCUGAUCAGUAGUGGGAUCGCACCUGUGAAUAGCCACUGCACUCCAGCCUCGGCAACAUUGUGAGAUCCCGUCUCA
This 302-nucleotide signal recognition particle RNA is filed under the name Aotus nancymaae (Ma's night monkey). Its description in RNAcentral is "Metazoan signal recognition particle RNA (ENSANAG00000008207.1)". It matches the Rfam family "Metazoan signal recognition particle RNA". Rfam says of the family: The signal recognition particle (SRP) is a universally conserved ribonucleoprotein. It is involved in the co-translational targeting of proteins to membranes. Lineage: Eukaryota; Metazoa; Chordata; Mammalia; Primates; Aotidae. The record is from RNAcentral.